Molecule: ribosomal RNA, 253 nt
Filed under: uncultured bacterium
Lineage: Bacteria
Description: partial 16S ribosomal RNA
Rfam family: Bacterial small subunit ribosomal RNA
Source: RNAcentral
UACGGGGGGGGCAAGCGUUGUUCGGAAUUACUGGGCGUAAAGGGCGCGUAGGCGGUCAGAUAAGUCAGCUGUGAAAACCUCGGGCUUAACCCGAGGCCUGCAGUUGAAACUGUUUGGCUGGAGUGUGGGAGAGGAGAGUGGAAUUCCCGGUGUAGCGGUGAAAUGCGUAGAUAUCUGGAGGAACACCGGUGGCGAAGGCGGCAUCCUGGACCGAUACUGACGCUGAGGAGCGAAAGCCAGGGGAGCAAACGGG